UUUCCGUAGGUGAGCCUGCGGAAGGAUCAUUAUCGAGUUUUGACUGUGUUGUAGCUGACCUGCCGAGGCAUGUGCACGUCCUUCUCAUCCACUCUACACCUGUGCACUGACUGUGGGUAUCAGAUCUUGAAGCGUGAUCUUUUCCCGGACCUUGUGACGCGCGUCUGUGCCUGCGUUUAUCAUAAACACUAUAAAGUAUCAGAAUGUGUAUUACGUUGUAACGCAUCUAUAUACAACUUUCAGCAACGGAUCUCUUGGUUCUG
RNAcentral lists this unclassified non-coding RNA (263 nucleotides) under plant metagenome. Its description in RNAcentral is "partial contains small subunit ribosomal RNA, internal transcribed spacer 1, and 5.8S ribosomal RNA". The record is from RNAcentral.